This 253-nucleotide ribosomal RNA is filed under the name uncultured bacterium. RNAcentral describes it as "partial 16S ribosomal RNA". It matches the Rfam family "Bacterial small subunit ribosomal RNA", at positions 524 to 776 of the family's 1533-position model. The record is from RNAcentral.
UACGUAGGGUGCAAGCGUUAAUCGGAAUUACUGGGCGUAAAGCGUGCGUAGGCGGUUUGUUAAGUCUGUCGUGAAAACCCCGGGCUCAACCUGGGAAUGGCGAUGGAUACUGGCGAGCUAGAGUACGGUAGAGGAGAGUGGAAUUCCCGGUGUAGCAGUGAAAUGCGUAGAGAUCGGGAGGAACAUCAGUUGCGAAGGCGGCUCUCUGGACCAGUACUGACGCUGAGGCACGAAAGCGUGGGGAGCAAACAGG